GAUGAACGCUGGCUACAUGCUUAACACAUGCAAGUCGAGGGGAAACGCCGGGGCAGCUUGCUUCCCCGGGCGUCGACCGGCGCACGGGUUAGUAACGCGUAUCCAACCUGCCUCUGACUGAGGGAUAACCCGUCGAAAGUCUGCCUAAUACCUCAUGGCAUCGUCUGCGGGCAUCCAACGACGAUUAAAGAUUUCAUCGGUCAGAGAUGGGGAUGCGUCUGAUUAGCUUGUUGGCGGGGUAACGGCCCACCAAGGCGACGAUCAGGAGGGGUUCUGAUAGGAAGGCACCCCACAUUGGAACGGAGACACGGACCAAAACGGUACGGGAGGGUGGAGUGAGGAAGACAGGGGAAUGGGCGAGAGCCUAAAACAGCCAAGUAGCGUGCAGGAGGACGGCGCUAUGGGUUGUAAACUGCUUUUAUGGGGGGAUAAAGUGAGGGACGUGUCCGUCAUUGACGGUACCGGAUGAAUAAGGACCGGCUAAUUACGUG
RNAcentral lists this ribosomal RNA (491 nucleotides) under uncultured bacterium. Its description in RNAcentral is "partial 16S ribosomal RNA". It matches the Rfam family "Bacterial small subunit ribosomal RNA", at positions 28 to 507 of the family's 1533-position model. The record is from RNAcentral.